This 484-nucleotide ribosomal RNA is filed under the name uncultured bacterium. Its description in RNAcentral is "partial 16S ribosomal RNA". It matches the Rfam family "Bacterial small subunit ribosomal RNA", at positions 28 to 507 of the family's 1533-position model. The record is from RNAcentral.
AUUGAACGCUGGCGGCAUGCUUUACACAUGCAAGUCGAACGGCAGCGCGGGCUUCGGCCUGGCGGCGAGUGGCGAACGGGUGAGUAAUACAUCGGAACGUGCCCAGUAGUGGGGGAUAGCUCGGCGAAAGCCGGAUUAAUACCGCAUACGACCUGAGGGUGAAAGGGGGGGAUCUUCGGACCUCGCGCUAUUGGAGCGGCCGAUGGCCGAUUGGCUAGUUGGUGGGGUAAAGGCCUACCAAGGCGACGAUCCGUAGCUGGGCUGAGGGGACGACCAGCCACACUGGGACUGAGGCCCGGCCCAGACUCCUACGGGAGGCAGCAGUGGGGAAUUUUGGACAAUGGGCGAAAGCCUGAUCCAGCAAUGCCGCGUGUGUGAUGAAGGCCUUCGGGUUGUAAAGCACUUUUGGCGGGAACGAAAAGGACUGUGCCAAUACCACGGUUCGAUGACGGUACCCGCAGAAUAAGCACCGGCUAACUACGUG